This 58-nucleotide microRNA precursor is filed under the name Euprymna scolopes. RNAcentral describes it as "Esc-Mir-2-o47d_pre stem-loop". Lineage: Eukaryota; Metazoa; Mollusca; Cephalopoda; Sepiida; Sepiolidae. The record is from RNAcentral.
CUCAUCAACUGGUUGUGAUGUGCUAUCUUUGACAUAUCACAGCUAGCUUUGAUGAGCU